UACGGAGGGGGCUAGCGUUGUUCGGAAUUACUGGGCGUAAAGCGCACGUAGGCGGAUUGGAAAGUUGGGGGUGAAAUCCCAGGGCUCAACCCUGGAACUGCCUUCAAAACUCCCAGUCUGGAGGUCGAGAGAGGUGAGUGGAAUUCCGAGUGUAGAGGUGAAAUUCGUAGAUAUUCGGAGGAACACCAGUGGCGAAGGCGGCUCACUGGCUCGAUACUGACGCUGAGGUGCGAAAGCGUGGGGAGCAAACAGGA
RNAcentral lists this ribosomal RNA (254 nucleotides) under uncultured bacterium. Its description in RNAcentral is "partial 16S ribosomal RNA". It matches the Rfam family "Bacterial small subunit ribosomal RNA", at positions 524 to 777 of the family's 1533-position model. The record is from RNAcentral.